AACGAACGCUGGCGGCAGGCUUAACACAUGCAAGUCGAGCGCCCCGCAAGGGGAUCGGCAGACGGGUUUGUAACGCGUGGGAACGUACCUUUUGGUUCGGAACAACUCCGGGAAACUGGAGCUAAUACCGGAUAAGCCCUAACGGGGAAAGAUUUAUCGCCGAAAGAUCGGCCCGCGUCUGAUUAGCUAGUUGGUGAGGUAACGGCUCACCAAGGCGACGAUCAGUAGCUGGUCUGAGAGGAUGAUCAGCCACACUGGGACUGAGACACGGCCCAGACUCCUACGGGAGGCAGCAGUGGGGAAUAUUGGACAAUGGGCGCAAGACUGAUCCAGCCAUGCCGCGUGAGUGAUGAAGGACUUAGGGUUGUAAAGCUCUUUUGUCCGGGAAGAUAAUGACUGUACCGGAAGAAUAAGCCCCGGCUAACUUCGUG
Molecule: ribosomal RNA, 431 nt
Filed under: uncultured bacterium
Lineage: Bacteria
Description: partial 16S ribosomal RNA
Rfam family: Bacterial small subunit ribosomal RNA
Source: RNAcentral